UGUAAACCUCCCCCUUGGCUGGUCUCCUUGGAGACCGGAGUUGGCUCAGGCCUGUCACACCUGGGCCUGAUCAACUAACUUCCAGUUCUGGAGCUGCUGCUGGAGGAGGUGCCAGUGGGCAAGAUGGCAGCUGGUGAGAUGACACAAGGCAGAAAGAAGGGUGAAAGGUUCAAAGGUUAAUCUGUGAAAUACAAGCUGAGUACUUUCUCCUUUGAGUCAAGUACAGGAGAGAUAAUUACAUGUUCCGCUCCUGAAAAUGUUGAGCAGUUGACGGACAGUGAACUCUCAGAAAUUUAACCUGACAGAAAUGAAGAGGGAAAAACCGCCAACAGGUGAGGUGAAAGCUUCCGAGCCUCACCCCAAUUAUCAGGAAAAUGCCCGAGAUGACUCUGGCCCAGUGGGAGUAUGGUUUGUGGAGAAAGUGGAUCCAUGUCUUUUGGUGAUCCAUUUGUGGUAUCGGGCUGGGUGAAGAAGGAUUUUGGUUCUUUCAAUUUGGGCAAAGUAUCCAGAAGUGGACUUGUGUUUAUUACAUUUUUUGUGUGUCUGCUGCCCAGAGGGAGAAGGCGCUUACGUGACUCUGGGCGAGAGCUGUGUUCUGCUCUCCAGAGCAGAGCGCCGCUGAAAGGAGUGAUAACUGGGGUGGCGCUGAGGUGGAUUGACUGAAGUUGAGGAUUCUGUGUCUGAUGCAUGCCGUUUGUUUCGAUGCAGACCAGGUGAGGGCCUUGAGACUGACCUGGUCUGUCUUUCUGAGUUUUGAUGCAGAGUGUUUGCCGGAUAAACUCAUGCUAGGGUAUAUAAGUUGUGUAGGCCGUCAUUGUGAAUAAGAAUUUGUUCUUAACUGACUUGCCUAGUUAAAUAAUGGUUAAAUAAAUAAAAGUUAUCCUGUGGUAACCAAACCCACUAUGAUGUUUCAGGUACCAAGUUUACGGUUUUGUUGCAGCAGUAUGUUAAAGGGAGAUUCUGAGGUGUGAGAAGUGUGUAGGAGGGCAUGGGACAAAGGAGUGUGUAGAGUCCGUGGGGAAAGUGUUUCAAUUGACCAUGUUGCUGGGGACCAGAAAUGUCCUGUGCAAGUGAGACCGGUUGAAGUUUCCAGGCUGAAAGCAGUGCAAAAAGUGUUUUAUGUUGAGGUGAGGAAAGUAGAGGAUCUGCCGGAAAAUCACAGAGUUUGAAAGCUGCCGCUUCCGCCACAAACUUCACUGGGACCAUGUCAUACCCAGCCACCAAUGACCUUGCAGCCAGAGGGGGACCAAACGACAUGGGCUGGGUUCCAUAGACGCUUGAUGACAACAGACGACAGGGAGCGACUGCCAAACUACCAACAGUGAAACUAACCAACGGCAGACGAGCAACCGACGGGAGUUGGCUGUGGCCAUCCUGGACACUCGUCCAGGAGCACAGACCUUUGAUUUUGGUUUGUGAUUGUGUACUUCUGAGAUUUGAAGUAAAGAACUCUAAACAUUUAAA
Oncorhynchus tshawytscha (Chinook salmon) is the source of this 1464-nucleotide long non-coding RNA. NCBI's taxonomy places the organism in Eukaryota, Metazoa, Chordata, Actinopteri, Salmoniformes, Salmonidae. The record is from Ensembl.